CUAGAAGAAAGAACUAGUUAUUUUAGGGUUUGUUUGGUUCAACGUAAAAUCAUUAAAAAUAGUUUUUCGUAGAAAAAUUUGGUGAAAAAAAAGUUUUACCUUUUAUAGUAUUUGGUUUGUAGAAAAAAAAAAAAAAUAGUUUUCCACAAUAUUUGUUUCAUUGAAAGAAAAAAAAAAUCACAUUUAUUUGAAUCAGUGGGAAAAAUAAAUUAAAAAAGCUUUGCACAGCUUGAGUUUUUAUUUCCUACCGAAAAAACAGUAGAAAAGAAACUUCAAAUUUUUUUCAAAUCCGUAAAAAUACUUUUCAGAAAAAUAUUCUUAUGUGAAAUCAAAAAACGAAAAAAUAUUUUUUAUGUCGAAAAUAAUUUUUCGGUUCAUUUUACGCCGAACCAAAUGGCCCCGUAGCUUGGAGAAAAAAAAGGUGAGUAUAGGAUCCGAGCAAUAGGGAUAUAUAAAUCUCAAGCGAAAACUUAAUGAAAUUGUAAUCAGAUCACCGAUUGUCUCGAGCAUAGUUAGCUAAGGACUUGAACUAUUAUUUAUAUUAACUAAUAUUUAUAUUAUUUAAAUAAUUAAAAUUUAAUUUAUCUAAUUAAUAUAUUAACUUAAAAUAUAAAUAAUUAAUUAAUAUUAACAUAUUGACUAAUUUUUAAUAUUUAUUUACUAGUUAACGCCAUCUUUAUCAUCUCAUAUAGUAAUUUUAAUUAAUUUAUUUACUAACUUAUUAAAAUAUUACUUUACUAAUACUUAGAUACUUAUUAUUUAUAUAAAUUAUAUCAUAAUUACUCUUAUUUUUAGUAUUCCAACUCAAUCAUNAAAAAAUUCUACUUAAACUUAAAUUUAAUAAAAAGAAUUUAUUAUAAUACUUAAAUAUAAUUUAUUAUAAAUUUUAUUAUAAUAUUUAAAUAUAAAUAAUAUGUAUUAAUAUAGUAUAAUUAAUAAUUUUAUAAUAAAAAUAAUGUAUUAUAAUAUAUAAUAUAUUAUAUUUAUAUACUUUAGUUUUAAUUCAAUUUAUAAUUUUAAUUAAGUUUGAAAUUAAGCAUUUGAAUAGCGCUAUUCCUCUAAAAUGGUGGAAUAACAAAUUCCUUACUAUUCCGGGAUAACCGGGAAUAGCAAGGUUUGACCGGGAUAAAAUAUCUCGGUCAAUUUUCAUUCCGUUUGGCGGAAUAGCGAGGAUAACUUUCGUUAUCCCCGCUUAUCCUCCAAUCAAACGGGUCAUUGUUUGAUUUAAUUUAACAAUGAAU
Molecule: long non-coding RNA, 1241 nt
Filed under: Ananas comosus (pineapple)
Lineage: Eukaryota; Viridiplantae; Streptophyta; Magnoliopsida; Poales; Bromeliaceae
Description: long non-coding RNA (ACOM_LNC004802)
Source: RNAcentral